RNAcentral lists this ribosomal RNA (394 nucleotides) under Gemmatimonadota bacterium. RNAcentral's name for it is "Gemmatimonadetes bacterium (beach sand metagenome) partial 23S ribosomal RNA". It matches the Rfam family "Bacterial large subunit ribosomal RNA", at positions 2540 to 2925 of the family's 2925-position model. The record is from RNAcentral. Lineage: Bacteria; Pseudomonadati; Gemmatimonadota.
UCGCAUCCUGGGGCUGGAGAAGGUCCCAAGGGUCGGGCUGUUCGCCCGUUAAAGCGGUACAUGAGCUGGGUUUAGAACGUCGUGAGACAGUUCGGUCUGUAUCCGCCGUGGGCGUUGGAGAUUUGAGGGGAGCUGCUCCUAGUACGAGAGGACCGGAGUGGACUGACCGCUGGUGUACCUGUUGUCCCGCCAGGGGCAUCGCAGGGUAGCUACGUCGGGAAGGGAUAACCGCUGAAAGCAUCUAAGUGGGAAGCCCCCCCCAAGAUGAGAUCUCCCGUGCCGUAAGGCACCUGAAGGCCCGCAGGAGACGACUGCGUGGAUAGGCGGCAGGUGUAAGCGUGGCAACACGUUCAGCCGAGCCGUACUAAUCGGCCGUGCGGCUUGAUCCUCUUCU